RNAcentral lists this long non-coding RNA (814 nucleotides) under Anas zonorhyncha (Eastern spot-billed duck). RNAcentral's name for it is "lncRNA (ENSAZOG00000008032.1)". The record is from RNAcentral. Lineage: Eukaryota; Metazoa; Chordata; Aves; Anseriformes; Anatidae.
CAGUGAGCGUGUUUUCAAAAUAAUAAUCCAAUUAAUAUGCAUUAAGUAGAAAUUUCAGGGUUUUGCCUGGCAGUUGUGGCUGCUGCUGUCAUUUGGAAAUAAUAUUUCAUUGCUUCAGGUGGCAGAUACCUAGCAGCUACUGCCUAGUCAGCCUGGGCUCCGUCAGGAUUACCUGUGAGGUUGUCAGUGUAAUUUGAGGCUGGGUGUGCGUUCUGUGGAGAUGCUGCUCUUUCUAACCCUGUGAUUCAGCAUAAACAAGUGCUUUGCAAGCUUACCUUGGUUUACUAAGGCAAAAAAAUUGAUGGAUCUCUGUAACCUGUUCCUGUUUUUAGGGAAAUCUCUUCUUCUAUUGAAAAGAGAAAUUAAAUAAAUGUUUUUUUCUAAAAUUGUCUUGUGAACAAUUUAUAGCUGCAAGAGCUGCUGCAGUGGCACCUAAGCUGUUUUAUGUUUAGUUGCUGAUGUUUUCAUCUCAAGGGGGGGGUAUAUGUUGUGUUUUAUAAUAGGUAACCGACUGUGGAGUUCUCAUGUAGCCCAUACCUUAAUAGGAAAUGAUCUUUUUUUCAGAUCUGGGCGUAUCUUAGAAGAUAGCUGUUUGCAGCAGUCACUCCACUGUGACCAGGAGGUCAGCUGGGUGCCAGUCUUGAAGGUCUUCUGGAGUCUCAGACAAGUGUCCCAUCUGGCCAGUGUCACAAAGAUGAAAGGAAAUUGUUAUUUCAGACAAAGGCCUUUACUUGAUAGGUGUGCUCCAUGGUUAAAGAUUUCUUGGCAGCUAACUCUGAAAACUGCUAACCAUGUACAAGAAAAAAUGUUCUGA